AGCAGCAGAUUGGGCGUAAAGUGUGCGCAGGCGGUUUUGUAAGUCAGAUGUGAAAUCCCCGAGCUCAACUUGGGAACUGCGUUUGAAACUACAAGACUAGAAUAUGUCAGAGGGGGGUAGAAUUCCACGUGUAGCAGUGAAAUGCGUAGAGAUGUGGAGGAAUACCAAUGGCGAAGGCAGCCCCCUGGGAUAAUAUUGACGCUCAUGCACGAAAGCGUGGGGAGCAAACAGGAUUAGAUACCCUGGUAGUCCACGCCCUAAACGAUGUCUACUAGUUGUUGGUGGAGUAAAAUCCAUGAGUAACGCAGCUAACGCGUGAAGUAGACCGCCUGGGGAGUACGGUCGCAAGAUUAAAACUUAAAAAUGACGG
This 370-nucleotide ribosomal RNA is filed under the name uncultured Methylophilus sp. Its description in RNAcentral is "bacterial SSU rRNA". It matches the Rfam family "Bacterial small subunit ribosomal RNA", at positions 544 to 916 of the family's 1533-position model. The record is from RNAcentral. Lineage: Bacteria; Pseudomonadati; Pseudomonadota; Betaproteobacteria; Nitrosomonadales; Methylophilaceae.